CUAGUUGGUAAGGUAACGGCUUACCAAGGCUACGAUGGGUAGGGGUCCUGAGAGGGAGAUCCCCCACACUGGUACUGAGACACGGACCAGACUCCUACGGGAGGCAGCAGUGAGGAAUAUUGGACAAUGGGCGCAAGCCUGAUCCAGCCAUGCCGCGUGCAGGAUGACGGUCCUAUGGAUUGUAAACUGCUUUUAUACGAGAAGAAACACUGCUUCGUGAAGCAGCUUGACGGUAUCGUAAGAAUAAGGAUCGGCUAACUCCGUGCCAGCAGCCGCGGUAAUACGGAGGAUCCAAGCGUUAUCCGGAAUCAUUGGGUUUAAAGGGUCCGUAGGCGGUUUAGUAAGUCAGUGGUGAAAGCCCAUCGCUCAACGGUGGAACGGCCAUUGAUACUGCUGAACUUGAAUUAUUAGGAAGUAACUAGAAUAUGUAGUGUAGCGGUGAAAUGCUUAGAGAUUACAUGGAAUACCAAUUGCGAAGGCAGGUUACUACUAAUGGAUUGACGCUGAUGGACGAAAGCGUGGGUAGCGAACAGGAUUAGAUACCCUGGUAGUCCACGCCGUAAACGAUGGAUACUAGCUGUUGGGAGCAAUCUCAGUGGCUAAGCGAAAGUGAUAAGUAUCCCACCUGGGGAGUACGUUCGCAAGAAUGAAACUCAAAGGAAUUGACG
Molecule: ribosomal RNA, 668 nt
Filed under: uncultured Bacteroidota bacterium
Lineage: Bacteria; Pseudomonadati; Bacteroidota
Description: SSU rRNA
Rfam family: Bacterial small subunit ribosomal RNA
Source: RNAcentral